Molecule: long non-coding RNA, 2287 nt
Organism: Hyalella azteca
Lineage: Eukaryota; Metazoa; Arthropoda; Malacostraca; Amphipoda; Hyalellidae
Exons: 2
Source: RefSeq, a predicted model, not a curated record
CGUGUCUGUCGCCUCGCCUGUCGACCACGGCGCCGGCCCUUGAGACGAGCAAGCUGCUGCCUCGUCCAUCAUCAUCGUCCGACGAUGACGUCCUACGUCGCUCACCGUCGCCUGACGAUGACGUCCAACGUCGCCCAUCGUCCGACGAUGUCGCUAACUCGUCCUCGUCUCUCUCGGUCGCCCGCGAGCAACUUUAUCCUUGAUUGCAUCCUUCACUAAUCCUUGACUAACUGCAUCGCUUCAGGUGACGAUGAAGGCGAGCGAUGCACUAAAUUCGGCAGCGGCGUAGGACGAAGAUCGUUAACGGAGGCGACGAAUGAAGUGACGUGCGGUGAAAUGGUCGUCGCAGACGAGGUAAAUCUCGGUGCUAAGACUGGCAGUAAAGCUACCGGAAGUGGAAGUAAAGGUACCGGAAGUGAAAGUAAGAAUACCGGAAGUGGCAGUAAAGUUACCGGAAAUGGAAGUAAAGGUACCGGAAGUGGCAGUAAGAAUUCCGGAAGCAAGAAUACCGGAAGGGGAUAUAAGAAUAGCGGACAUGGCAGUAAGAAUAGCGGCAGUGGUCGUAGAAAUAGUGGCAGUAGUGGCAUGAGAGAUGGCACAGCAAGGGAAGCUGUCAGCAGCGCCAGCACGAGUCAGACAGCUGACACUGAACAUCCUUCGAUGCCUGGCACGCCGCUUAGCAGCGCGUCAGCCGUCAGCGGCGGCAGCGACACGUCAUCAGCCAGCGCAUCUUCGUCGCAGGCGCUGCUGCUGACAUCGCCCUCGUCAGCCACUGCUGGCGCCAGCAUCGUCUGAUACUGCCGCAGUAAAUGUUAUUGUUGCAUUUGUGUACGAGUUGAGAUGAAUAAAUGUCUGACGAAAAUGAAUGAAUAAGAUCUGGUAUAUAACCACAUGAAUCUGUUAAGUUAGUGAAAAUUAUAUUAUAUACUAAUAAAUUUAAGGAGAUCAUUUGGCUUAGCGAGCUGUACAUAUAACCUCAUUCAUCACUCAUCCAGUGUUGCUGUCUUCCCGAUUUAAUUUUGUGCAACUAUCAUGCAAAUUAUUGUUAAUUUGUGUCAUGAUUGCAUAUGAGCGAAAUUUUCAACUUACUGUCAUAAAAAAUGUUGGUAUUCUAGAAUUAUCUUUAUUUGUACAUUUUCUUUAGAGUAUCGUGCAUUGAGCUGUUGUAUCAUAGUCGAGCUUAAUGAUACUGAAACUAUCUGAUCAUAUAAAUGGUAGUUAAUAAGUCUUGUUGGGUUCCUAUUUAAGCGUUAGGCUCCUGGGAAAGUAUGUCUGCUAUUUUCCUCUUUUAUCUUUAAAUGCUACGCUAAUUUUCUCAUAUGAAUCUCCCGAGACUCUGGCCACAUUCCUAGUUAUUAUUCUGGUGCUAGAAAUGACAUCACAUUCUUUUUUGUAUAUAUUAGAAAUUCACUAAACCUUAUCAUUCUUUUGUAAACGUUUCGUGAUUUGUUUGAUCGUCUUCGUUCUUUUGUAAACAAUUUGGUUUCUAUUAGACAUGUUCGUUCUUCACUCGACUUAUUCGUUUUGUCCUGACGCAUCCGUCCUGACCUCGACGCAUUAUUUUUUUCCUCUACGUUAUCCUUCGUUCCCCGCCGUGUUGCUCUCUUCGCUCCAUACUUGACUUUUUCGACGGAUUGUUUCUUUCUCGACGCACUCGCUUUUCUUUCUCGAUAUUUAGUUCAAUUUUCCUCGUAGGUUUCGUUCAGUUCUUCUCGGAUAUUUCAUUCAGUUCUUCUCGGAUAUUUCAUUCAAUUCUUCUCGGAUUUUUCGUUCAGUUUUUCUUAACGUAUUCGUUCUUUCAUCGACGUAAUCGUAAUUUUCUCGACGUGUCGCUAUAUUUUGAAUAUAAUUAUGUUGAGUUUCCCUUCUCUAGACGACCUUAUCCUCUUGGUACAGUGUCCCUGUGUCUUCUAAAUCGAAGGCAAAUUUAGCUUGGGUAUUAUUAGGUUUUUCAAGUGUUGUAAUGUACAAGUAUUACAUGGUCUACUGUAAUGUGGAAUUAAAAGUUGUACUCGUGUAGUUAACCUUCUUAUUAUGUACAUAACAUGAUUAAAAUCUCUUUCAUUCCAGACAGUAGUUAGUCUGUCCUAACACAUUCAUGGUAAGUUAAUCAGUGAAGAAGAAACAAUCAAGUAAUCUUGAUUUCUAAUGUUACAUGCCUGCUAGAAUCGUGCGACCGAGAUCUUACGAGUCUUCUUGUAUUUAUAUAUUCGUGCAACUGUUCAUGACCUGAUAAUUAUCUACGUUUAAUUAUUAUUCAAUUAAUUAUAUACGCAUAUGUAUGUUU